This is a small nucleolar RNA of Dendrobium catenatum, 107 nucleotides long. NCBI's taxonomy places the organism in Eukaryota, Viridiplantae, Streptophyta, Magnoliopsida, Asparagales, Orchidaceae. The record is from RefSeq and is a predicted model, not a curated record.
AAAAUAUGAUGAGGGAACUUAAUAAUCAUCUCCUUAAAUCUUUCUCAACCCUCAUAAUUUGACUCUCUAUAAAAUUUGGAAAAUAGAGUUAUAUCAUUCCUAAGCUU